CUACGGGCGGCAGCAGUGAGGAAUAUUGCACAAUGGAGGGAACCCUGAUGCAGCAACGCCGCGUGGAGGAUGACGCAUUUCGGUGUGUAAACUCCUUUUAUAUGUCAAGAAAAUGACGGUAGCAUAUGAAUAAGCACCGGCUAACUCCGUGCCAGCAGCCGCGGUAAUACGGAGGGUGCAAGCGUUACUCGGAAUCACUGGGCGUAAAGGACGCGUAGGCGGGUUGGAAAGUCAGGUGUGAAAUCCUACAGCUUAACUGUAGAACUGCACUUGAAACUUCUAAUCUAGAGUAUGGGAGGGGGAGAUGGAAUUAGUGGUGUAGGGGUAAAAUCCGUAGAUACCACUAGGAAUACCUAAAGCGAAGGCGAUCUCCUGGAACAUUACUGACGCUAAGGCGUGAAAGCGUGGGGAGCAAACAGGAUUAGAUACCCUAGUAGUC
This 439-nucleotide ribosomal RNA is filed under the name uncultured bacterium. RNAcentral's name for it is "partial 16S ribosomal RNA". It matches the Rfam family "Bacterial small subunit ribosomal RNA", at positions 339 to 795 of the family's 1533-position model. The record is from RNAcentral.